AUACGGGGGGUGCAAGCGUUACUCGGAAUCACUGGGCGUAAAGGGUUCGUAGGCGGCUUGUUUAGUCCUUCGUGAAAGCCCCAGGCUCAACUUGGGGACUGCGCGGGAUACUGACAGGCUUGAGGGUAGGAGAGGCAAGCGGAACGUUGCAAGUAGCGGUGAAAUGCAUUGAUAUGCAACGGAACACCAAUGGCGAAGGCAGCUUGCUGGACUACUCCUGACGCUGAGGGACGAAAGCCAGGGUAGC
This 247-nucleotide ribosomal RNA is filed under the name uncultured bacterium. RNAcentral describes it as "partial 16S ribosomal RNA". It matches the Rfam family "Bacterial small subunit ribosomal RNA", at positions 523 to 769 of the family's 1533-position model. The record is from RNAcentral.